GCAGGCAGCACGGCCGCCACUGACACCGGAGGCGCUGGCCUCGGCCCGGGCUCCGCUUCGGAAUUGAGGCCUUCGCCGAGGCCGGUCGCUGGCGACGCCAUUGUGGGAAUGUCACCGUCCUGAGGCAAAGAAAGACAUAUUAGUCUCCGGUGUGUCAUAUUCGGGGACAGCCAGGUAAACUAACUAUACAAUCAUUGUUUCAUUUUUUAAAAUGACUUAUGAAAAUAGUGCUUGUAUCCAACAAUGAAUGAGAGGUGUCUUUUAAAGUAGUCCAUUAUUUUUUUCCUUACACAAUUGUUUAUUCAUUCUUUCUUCAACACUAUGAACUAUUGAUGUUUUGAAAGACCAAGGUACAAUUACAGCUUUGACAGAGCUUCCUGGUUUUCUUGUAAACAUUACCCAUUUUGUGUUGGACUAAAGGUUUCUCAGAUUGCUUAUCCAGCUUUUGACUUGGACCAGUUGGACCUCCACUAAUGAACAUGUUUCUUGAUAUAUCCGUAGUGACUAUCCGAGCACACAUCUGCACUGAGCUUUGAAUGCACUUUGGUGCAUCUUCAAAACUGGUGGUUAGACAACAAAUUUCCACAACAGUGAAAAAGAAAACCCUUAACAUGCAUCAGUGCUCUAGUUUCUAUAAUCAUCAGCCAAGCCUUAAACUGGCUCCACAAUUUCCCGUGUAAUCAUAUGCACAGUGAAACCUCUUUCUUCAAAUUUGAAAUUGUAUUAAAUUAUCAGUGUAGAUGAGGCCUAAGUCAUGGCAUACAGUGCUGCUGCUUCUACGAGAUAACCUUGUAUAUAAGCUCGUACACAACCAUAGGAGCUAGCUGCAUGACUAGUUACAUAUAUGAAGUAUAUCACAUCAAACCAAAUGAAACUUUGGAGAGCUAUGUAUGAUACAGCUAUAAAAAAAUCUCACAGAACUUAGAGCACUUCCAGGUAAAUUGACCUUCAAAUAGCAGUAACAAUAUAGUCCUAUCCUUAGCAUACAAUCCUGUGGUGUUAUUUUGCCAUAAACAGGGCUGAGUUCAAGUGGAUUUCAGAAACCUUUAGCAUGCAGUUUACAAAAACUUUAAGAUUUUGUUAGAGGUCUGCAGACAGUAUAAUUUAUAAUCAGCAUGUGGUUGAUUACUAAAAAGUCUCUUCAUGCUGGAAACUAUUAUGAAAAUUGUGUAGAUGUGUGUUUGUUUACUUCAGUUAAUGAGUAACCUUGAUAGAGCUUAGUAAAUGUUUGUCACUAUGAAAUCUCUUCAAAAGCAAGAGUCAUGAUUGUGCUUUGCAAGGCCUGUGACAAAAUAUUUCAGUUUCAUUUGAGAAGCAGGGAAAAGAUAUUUCUUCCACUGGCAUAUUUUGUAUGUGGUAUUGUCUCAUGCUGCUAGCCUCAAAUCUUUAUAGCUAAAGGGCAACCAGGGACACCCUAUUCUGAACGCGGCGGGGGGGGGGGGGGAGUAUCCUUUCCCAAAUGCAGCCCAUUCUGGUUACUGUGCAUGUAACCUGGCAAGGAUUCAAGCAAGUUAAUUUCCUCUCGUCCUUUGACUUUAAAUCUUUUUUAAAAGGAGGGGAUAUUCAACUAAAACAUACAGUCUGUCUCAGCUGUUCUCAGUCAUAGAUUUUUAUGGUAGACUCAAUCAAUUUGUCCAAGUCUCAGACUUAACCUGUUCUGACUUGUGGGGUUUUACUGUAUUUCUGUGAACAUUUUAAAAUAUUUCACUAGGUAAUAAAUAUAUGAUUUCUUAGUGAGGUGAGUGUGUGCAAAGUGUAUAUUUAGGAACGGGUGAAGAGGACAAUGACUGCCUGAAAAUCAUUGCUUGGUUGUCUUUUCUAGUCAGUGCCUAACACAUAUAUGGGCAAGCACUGAGGUUGAUAAUUAUCCUCCUAAUCCUAGUGUCUGCAGUGAAAAAAAGCUUUUAUUCCAUCAAAUUUAGUAGGAAUCACUGAGAACCUGCAUCUUGCAUGCAUCCCAUCAAUUUCUACUGAUGGAUAUGUGUAGGAAUUUGCAAUUAGAACAACGUAAUCUGUGGUAUAUAUCUGCAGUUGAUUUAGAUUAUUCCUAAAUCCUGGUUCUCUGUCUCAGUGAGGUGGGGUGAAUUUGACCUCGGGGGAAAGACAAGUAAAUUGAGGAAAAGUAACUCAAUUCAGCAAGGCAUUCAACUGAAAGCACAUUAGGACCAGAAGAAUCUGGUGUGUGUGUGUGUGUGUAAAGAUAAACAGUAAGAACCCCCCCCCCCCAAAGUUCUAAAAAUAUGACUAUAAUAUGAUUGUAAAAAAGUAUGAUAGUGAUAGUUUCCAUGCUUGUAUACCUCCCUGAUACAAGACAACACGCUGGUGGGGUAAAGUUCUACAACACGUUUUUCUAAGGCAAUACUUCUUAAAAUGGUCUAGUGAGGAGCAGAGAAAAUUCAGUCUUAUUUCUUCCCAGUGCUUGAGACAGUGCUGUGUAGUGGUUUGGGUGUUGGGGUUAGAAGUCUUGGCUUGAAUCCACGUUCAGAAACUUCCCCAGUUGGCCUUGAGUAAGAUGUAGUCAAGGCCAUCAAGAGCUCCAGGCAAAACAAAAAAUAAAAACAAAAAAACUAUUGUUAACCCUAAUAUGAGUUUUUUAAAAAAUGAGGUCCCUGCACCCAUUCUAAACACUGAGACAUCCUAGUAGAACAAUAUUCUUCUGAGAUAAGGGGGUCACUGUGCCAACAAAGCCCAUGCCAGGCAGAUCUUAACCCAGCCUUGGAUAAUACUGUGCAUUAAGUGAUCUUUUCACAGGAACAGGCUAGUGGUACAUAUCUUACAUAUUCCACUGGCCCAGUUUAAGAAACCAAUUCUAAUUUAAGGAAUAUGUAUAAAAAACAUAUAGAUCCUUGAAUGGAAAACAGCCCAGAGGGAAAUUUGUAAUAUUCCCAUUAUAGCCAAUAAUAUGUUAUUUCAUUCCCUUGCAUUUCUUGUUAAAUUUACAGCAUCUCUUACUUGCCCUCAGAGCAUUCAUAAUCCCGUCAAAGCGCCCAUGCAUCUCAUGUUCUGGGAUUGGAGGAGCGGAAGGAAGUAAAGAAAGGAAUGUACUUGGUCUGCCAAAAAGUCAGAGAAGAGAUUCUAUUGUAGAAAAGGUUAACAGACAAUGCACAUUUUGUUUGAUUUGCCAUCAGUACAUUAAUAAUUACACCAGAUCUCACUGACUAGAGUAGAAUCUGGCUAGCAGCAGAGAGACACCUUGUAUGGAAGAAAAGGCUAACGACCUUGUAAAACUACAACUCCCAAAUGGUGUCAAGAUGCAUUCUACAGUGUAGGCAAACCUUUGGAUUGCCUUUAGGGAGUAUUUCUAGGGAGAAAGUAACUUUUUCCACCCCAAAGCAAGAAUUGCUUUCCCCACUUCCCCUACAGCACAGUUAAUUUCCCUUUUCAUCCUCAACCAAUUGCAUCAAGAUUAAUAGAAUGGCAUAGCAAUCUUCAUCAUAAGGUUUUUAAGGUAAAAAACAUUCUGGAGUAUUUCCCCAUUGCCCUCUUCUGCACCAUACUGUUAUGGAGCUACAAUACCCCCCCCCCCCCCAAAGAUUUGUAGUUCACCUAGAGCUCAGAAAUAAAUAUAUUAUUAUUUUCCUUUAAAAACAAAACUUUCAGGACUUGCACAAGUUCAAAGCAUCAGAAGAUCUACAUUGUAUCUAUUUUUCAUGACCUUCUGUAUAACUUUCUGUGUACUGUAUCUAUUUCUUAUAUAUAAAAUGUAUAAACUUCCUUACCAAAAUAUAAACAGAUAAGCCCAGACAGUCACCUCUUCCUAACACUGCUGAGGAAUUUCCUGAAAAUAAGAAAUUUGGUAAACACUUCUGGCUGUUCCCCAGACAGGCAAUCACCAUGUACGUAUAUGCAAAGAUAGGCGACUUCCCUGUCAGCCCAGAUAAACCCAAACCUGUUUGUUUAGUUAUAUGGUUUACUUGAAGCUGAGAAAUUGCUGCCUGCAGAAACAGACUCUUAGAGUAUGUGCAUUUGUUAAACCUCUUUUAUUGACAGCCAAGCCCUUGAUUACCCAAAAUCAACACCUUGAGUCUUGCACCUUUGUUUCCUAAGAUCCAUACCUUUGUUUGGCAUGGAACUGGACAUCAACAUCAAAAGCCCAUCAACAUACCUUUAUCAAUUCUUUUCCCUGCACUGUACCCUCCCAUGAGACAUCUCUGCAGUUGAUUGGUCCUUCACUCUGACCAAUCCCUGGCUGCCAUUCUCCCUCCUAUAAGAUGUCUUGUAUUUCUCUCUGUGUUUAUGCUUGUACAUUUUGAAGAAAAUUGCUGUACUUGCAUUGUUUUUGCCAAAUCGUAUUAAACCUCUAUGGCUUGUCUUCAA
This is a long non-coding RNA of Anolis carolinensis (green anole), 4317 nucleotides long. RefSeq lists it as uncharacterized. The record is from RefSeq and is a predicted model, not a curated record. Lineage: Eukaryota; Metazoa; Chordata; Lepidosauria; Squamata; Anolidae. The transcript has 2 exons.